Molecule: ribosomal RNA, 369 nt
Filed under: Triticum aestivum (bread wheat)
Lineage: Eukaryota; Viridiplantae; Streptophyta; Magnoliopsida; Poales; Poaceae
Description: partial small subunit ribosomal RNA
Source: RNAcentral
CUUUGGAGGAGUUGGCACCUUAGAGAAGAUAGCCUGCGAAACAACGGAAGGGAGACAAUUAGCAGUUCCGUGCAGUUCCUGAUAAAAUAUGAUAAGGAACUAAGAACUGCAGCGGAGGCAAGGGAUGCUACUGAGGGCAAGGAAAAAUUGAAAGAAGGGAGUUCAGAAAGCCGUAGUACUGAUUUACCUGCGGCCAAAUGGAUGCCGCCGCCGCGAGAAGUGGCCAAAAUCAACACUGACGCUGCUUUCCUUGAGGAAACUGGGGAAAGUGCGGCGGGUGUGGUUGGUCGAGACUAUCGUGGCUUUGUCUUCCUGUCUUUGUGCAAAAGGCUCCCACGCUGCCACAGCGCCGAGGAGGCUGAAGCUUGA